AAGAAGAUUGUAUAGAAAAAUACGAAAAAUUUCCUUUGCUGCGAAAUAAUGUGUGCAUGAUAAAAAGCGUAAUAACGUACUUAUUUUUAAAUAUAUUAUUGACAUAUCUUAUCGGAAUACGGAAUGUAUAGGUAGGUACCGCUCAUGGUACGGGGAACUCUAUCAUCACAAGUUCCAAAAGAUAGCGUCUUAAAAUGUCCACACAUAUUUGAUUUUGAAACUAGGACAAUGUCUAGCAAGAAAAUUGUUGUAAUUGGUGACGGUGCGUGUGGUAAAACGAGUCUGUCAGUUGCCUUCAGCCAAAACGAAUUUCCGGAAACCCACGUUCCGACAAUUUACGAUACGUACACCAAAACAAUAACUGUCGAUGAGCAAAAUGUGGAACUCACAAUCUGGGAUACCGCCGGUGAGGAAGAUUACGACAGACUUAGGCCUUUGUCGUACACAAAGGCAAGUGUUAUAAUCGUGUGCUUUACAAUUGACAAUCCGGUUUCUUUGAAAAACGUUAAGACAAGAUGGGCGCCCGAAGUCAAACAUUUCUGCCGGAAAGUCCCCAUACUCCUAUUGAAGAUCUGAAAAGAAAUAACAUGCAACCCGUUAAGUUCGAACAAGGUUUGAAGGUGUCGAAGAAAAUUGGGGCACGGAAGUACAUCGAAUGCUCGGCUAAACAUAUGGUGGGGGUGCAGGACGUUUUCAGAAAUGCUGCCAGAAUUGCCUUGAAGACGCCACAGAAAAAAGGACUCAAGCGGUUAUGUCGAUGUGUCCGUGUUCCGUGCAAAACUACCUGAUUAGAUAUCAGUAUUACUAUUUUUGUAUUUCGCCCAAGCAAUAAAAGUAUUAUUUUUC
Tribolium castaneum (red flour beetle) is the source of this 846-nucleotide RNA transcript. RefSeq lists it as uncharacterized. The transcript has 2 exons. NCBI's taxonomy places the organism in Eukaryota, Metazoa, Arthropoda, Insecta, Coleoptera, Tenebrionidae. The record is from RefSeq and is a predicted model, not a curated record.